UUCAGUUGUUUGUUCCUAUACAUAUAAUAUAUAUAUAUAUAUAUAUAUAUAUAUAUAUAUAUUAUAUGUAUAGGAACAAACAACUGAAAACCUAA
RNAcentral lists this microRNA precursor (95 nucleotides) under Cajanus cajan (pigeon pea). RNAcentral's name for it is "miRNA gene-KK1_031800". The record is from RNAcentral. Lineage: Eukaryota; Viridiplantae; Streptophyta; Magnoliopsida; Fabales; Fabaceae.